UGGACAGAUUAUUGUAUUCGACUGCAUUCACGGCGUGAAAUAGGGGAUUACACUAUUUUUAAAAAGGAAAGUGAAUCAACUAAUAUAAUAAACUCCU
Molecule: non-coding RNA, 97 nt
Organism: Nicotiana sylvestris (wood tobacco)
Lineage: Eukaryota; Viridiplantae; Streptophyta; Magnoliopsida; Solanales; Solanaceae
Source: Rfam